RNAcentral lists this ribosomal RNA (483 nucleotides) under uncultured bacterium. RNAcentral's name for it is "partial 16S ribosomal RNA". It matches the Rfam family "Bacterial small subunit ribosomal RNA", at positions 30 to 507 of the family's 1533-position model. The record is from RNAcentral.
AUUGAACGCUGGCGGCAUGCUUUACACAUGCAAGUCGAACGGUAACAGGGAGCUUGCUCCGCUGACGAGUGGCGAACGGGUGAGUAAUAUAUCGGAACGUACCCAAGAGUGGGGGAUAACGUAGCGAAAGUUACGCUAAUACCGCAUACGAUCUAUGGAUGAAAGCAGGGGACAUUCGGGCCUUGUGCUCCUGGAGCGGCCGAUAUCUGAUUAGCUAGUUGGUGAGGUAAAGGCUCACCAAGGCGACGAUCAGUAGCUGGUCUGAGAGGACGACCAGCCACACUGGAACUGGGACACGGUCCAGACUCCUACGGGAGGCAGCAGUGGGGAAUUUUGGACAAUGGGCGCAAGCCUGAUCCAGCAAUGCCGCGUGGGUUAAGAAGGCCUUCGGGUGGUAAAGCUCUUUUGUCAGGGAGAAACGGCUGUGGCUAAUAUCCACGGCUAAUGACGGUACCUGAAGAAUAAGCACCGGCUAACUACGUG